Molecule: ribosomal RNA, 468 nt
Filed under: uncultured bacterium
Lineage: Bacteria
Description: partial 16S ribosomal RNA
Rfam family: Bacterial small subunit ribosomal RNA
Source: RNAcentral
GACGAACGCUGGCGGCGUGCUUAACACAUGCAAGUCGAACGGAAAGGCCCUGCUUGUGUGGGGUGCUCGAGUGGCGAACGGGUGAGUAACACGUGAGUAACCUGCCCUUGACUUUGGGAUAACUUCAGGAAACUGGGGCUAAUACCGGAUAGGAGCUCCUGCUGCAUGGAGGGGGUUGGAAAGUUUCGGCGGUUGGGGAUGGACUCGCGGCUUAUCAGCUUGUUGGUGGGGUAGUGGCUUACCAAGGCUUUGACGGGUAGCCGGCCUGAGAGGGUGACCGGCCACAUUGGGACUGCGGUACGGCCCAGACUCCUACGGGAGGCAGCAGUGGGGAAUAUUGCACAAUGGGCGGAAGCCUGAUGCAGCAACGCCGCGUGCGGGAUGACGGCCUUCGGGUUGUAAACCGCUUUCGCCUGUGACGAAGCGUGAGUGACGGUAAUGGGUAAAGAAGCACCGGCUAACUACGUG